GGUUGUAAUCAGAGAAGUGAUCUGUAGGAGCUUGGAUUUUGAGCUGAUCACUUUGACUGCCAGGUGACAAAAGUUUGGGAAAGAAAAGGACAGGCCAGUAAGAUCUUUCUGGUGAUCCUGAGCAGCGGCAGCUUCCUCAGCCUCAAGAUCACCAGGGAGACACCCGGGCGCAACAGUGCUCUACAUGCAGUGCUAAGCUGGGAGGUGCGGCAGAGGAAUCUAAAAGGAUAUAACAACUGAACUACAUGAAGAGAAUCAGUCCUGGGACUUUGAAU
This is a long non-coding RNA of Octodon degus (degu), 275 nucleotides long. RefSeq lists it as uncharacterized. The transcript is spliced from 3 exons. The record is from RefSeq and is a predicted model, not a curated record. Lineage: Eukaryota; Metazoa; Chordata; Mammalia; Rodentia; Octodontidae.